AAGAGGAAAUUUCCCAUUUUAAAGAAUUCUCUUCUCCUUUUCCUUCUUCCAGAAGAUCAGUAUCCAAGUAUUUCCCCAACUAGAAGAUCACCCAUCCCAGGAAGAGAAGAGACAAUAGAGGAGAGGCAGGCCUUGCAUCUGAUCUAGGAGGCAUUUUUAUUGAAGAGUACUGUUGUUGUUGAGAGCUCACUGGAGAAGUUUUUGCCAAAUAGUGAGUUCUUAUCCCUAAAACUGCUACCCCAUCAUUUUUGAGGUAAGGAAACUAAGACCCAGCAAAGUUUAAUUAAUUGAUCGAGCUUAUAUUGGUAGUAAACAUCACAGUAUUUUAAACUAUUUCCUCUGACUUGAGAACCAGACA
RNAcentral lists this long non-coding RNA (358 nucleotides) under Monodelphis domestica (gray short-tailed opossum). RNAcentral's name for it is "lncRNA (ENSMODG00000051020.1)". Lineage: Eukaryota; Metazoa; Chordata; Mammalia; Didelphimorphia; Didelphidae. The record is from RNAcentral.